GCUGGGCAUGGUGGCCCAUGCCUGUAAUCCCAGCUACUGGGGAGGCUGAGGCAGGAGAAUUGCUUGAACCUGGGAGGUGGAGGUUGCAGUGAGCCAAGAUAGCGCCAUUGUACUCUAGCCUGGGCAACAGAGCAAGAUUCUGUCUCAA
Pongo abelii (Sumatran orangutan) is the source of this 148-nucleotide unclassified non-coding RNA. It matches the Rfam family "Metazoan signal recognition particle RNA". Rfam says of the family: The signal recognition particle (SRP) is a universally conserved ribonucleoprotein. It is involved in the co-translational targeting of proteins to membranes. Lineage: Eukaryota; Metazoa; Chordata; Mammalia; Primates; Hominidae. The record is from Ensembl.